CGAACCGUGCGAACGUUGUUCGGAAUCACUGGGCUUAAAGGGCGCGUAGGCGGUUUGCCAAGUCAGGGGUGAAAUCCUGCAGCUCAACUGUAGAAGUGCCUUUGAUACUGGUGAACUCGAGGGAGGUAGGGGUCGCUGGAACUUCUGGUGGAGCGGUGAAAUGCGUUGAUAUCAGAAGGAACGCCGGUGGCGAAAGCGAGCGACUGGAUCUCUUCUGACGCUGAGGCGCGAAAGCUAGGGGAGCAAACGGGAUUAGAUACCCCGGUAGUCCUAGCCCUAAACGAUGAGCACUAGAUUGCAGACUGAUCAUGGGUUUGCAAUCGAAGCAAAAGUGUUAAGUGCUCCGCCUGGGGAGUAUGGUCGCAAGGCUG
RNAcentral lists this ribosomal RNA (371 nucleotides) under uncultured organism. RNAcentral describes it as "bacterial SSU rRNA". It matches the Rfam family "Bacterial small subunit ribosomal RNA", at positions 526 to 896 of the family's 1533-position model. The record is from RNAcentral.